Molecule: non-coding RNA, 641 nt
Organism: Paramuricea clavata
Lineage: Eukaryota; Metazoa; Cnidaria; Anthozoa; Malacalcyonacea; Plexauridae
Source: the annotation of a GenBank genome assembly
GCUUGCAUCGUCUAUCAUAACCAGGAUUGCUUGUGUGUAAACGCAUUAUUCACUAUAUGACACUAUCAAAUAAAUAUAAGUAGCAAAUGAUUAAUGAAUUAGAGAUAAACAGGUGAUUCACAAUGAAAUGUUAGUAGAAGUAGAAAACUCGAAAAUUUAUGUCUAUUCGUAUGACGCCAAUGACGGUGUGUGCGCAUCUGACACUGUAAAUUUGUGAUAUAGAUUAUAGUAUGUUAACAUAAUAUAAUGAUUAAUAGAGACCAAGAAAAAGGCUAAAGUCUUACUAUAAUUACCGAAUACAAAUUAUGUACUAAAUCCAGAUAAAUCAAUGAAUGAAAUUUCCUCUAUGCUUAUGGACAUUUCUCUGUUCGGCUAUUGUGUCUAUUAUCAAAUAUUUACAUUUGCUAAUAUUGGGCCAGUCCUAGACAAUACUGUUUCUUUUAAAAAUCUUAUAAACAAGACGCGUAGUAACAAGUGAAUCGGUGCAAAGCGUAUCAACAUUUACAAGAAUGGACGAAUGUAAUGGCGUAUUUUAAAAACAUUACAAUAAACGUUUGUUAUAAUCGUGCUCGAGUGUGAACAGAACAUGCAUUGAGUAUUUAAACAACACGAGACUCGAGCACUGCGAGUAACGAUUUGCU